GACGAACGCUGGCGGCGUGCCUAAUACAUGCAAGUGGGACGCAAGGACACACACUGUGCUUGCACACCGUGUUUUCUUGAGUCGCGAACGGGUGAGUAACGCGUAGGUAACCUGCCUAUUAGCGGGGGAUAACUAUUGGAAACGAUAGCUAAUACCGCAUAAUAUUAAUUAUUGCAUGAUAAUUGAUUGAAAGAUGCAAGCGCAUCACUAGUAGAUGGACCUGCGUUGUAUUAGCUAGUUGGUAAGGUAAGAGCUUACCAAGGCGACGAUACAUAGCCGACCUGAGAGGGUGGUCGGCCACACUGGGACUGAGACACCGCCCAGACUCCUACGGGAGGCAGCAGUAGGGAAUCUUCGGCAAUGGACGAAAGUCUGACCGAGCAACGCCGCGUGAGUGAAGAAGGUUUUCGGAUCGUAAAGCUCUGUUGUAAGUCAAGAACGUGUGUGAGAGUGGAAAGUUCACACAGUGACGGUAGCUUACCAGAAAGGGACGGCUAACUACGUG
This 505-nucleotide ribosomal RNA is filed under the name uncultured bacterium. Its description in RNAcentral is "partial 16S ribosomal RNA". It matches the Rfam family "Bacterial small subunit ribosomal RNA", at positions 28 to 507 of the family's 1533-position model. The record is from RNAcentral.